This 216-nucleotide ribosomal RNA is filed under the name Scolecobasidium sp. Its description in RNAcentral is "partial large subunit ribosomal RNA". Lineage: Eukaryota; Fungi; Ascomycota; Dothideomycetes; Venturiales; Sympoventuriaceae. The record is from RNAcentral.
AAGCGCUUGCAACCAGACUUGUGUACGACGGUUCCCCCUUCCUUUUGGUUGGGUCACUCCGUCGUGCCAGGCCAACAUCAGUUUUGGUGGUCGGUUAAAGGCUUGGGGAAUGUACCUACGCUCUCGGGUGUAGACUUAUAGCCCCAGGUGUCAUGCGGCCUACCGAGACUGAGGAACGCGCUUCGGCUCGGAUGUUGGCGUAAUGGUUGUCAGCGA